GCGACCGUGGUGUAGGCGGCAGCACGCCGGGCGUCGAUUCCGGGGGUGCCAGUUCAAAUCUGGUCGGUCGCC
This 72-nucleotide transfer RNA is filed under the name Spongiactinospora gelatinilytica. It matches the Rfam family "tRNA". Rfam says of the family: Transfer RNA (tRNA) molecules are approximately 80 nucleotides in length. Their secondary structure includes four short double-helical elements and three loops (D, anti-codon, and T loops). Further hydrogen bonds mediate the characteristic L-shaped molecular structure. tRNAs have two regions of fundamental functional importance: the anti-codon, which is responsible for specific mRNA codon recognition, and the 3' end, to which the tRNAs corresponding amino acid is attached (by aminoacyl-tRNA synthetases). tRNAs cope with the degeneracy of the genetic code in two manners: having more than one tRNA (with a specific anti-codon) for a particular amino acid; and 'wobble' base-pairing, i.e. permitting non-standard base-pairing at the 3rd anti-codon position. Lineage: Bacteria; Bacillati; Actinomycetota; Actinomycetes; Streptosporangiales; Streptosporangiaceae. RNAcentral also lists the same sequence under 1 other name. The record is from Rfam by way of RNAcentral.